UUAGUCGUGAUGAACAAUCCAAGUUCUGCAUAAUUUUCAUUCCGUGCUAGCAGUUGUAUCAUCAAUACAUAAAUAUUCGAAGGCACUUUCAACCUUUCCAGGUUAGCACUGGAAGAACGGAUACAGGAUCAACAAGAGACAGAAAGAACAGUUCAUGCAUCAAAAGUAGAUAACAUGUCAGCAAGAAGAUAAAGCAACUUCUUUGCCCUUUUACAAGCAGUAAGAACAUGGUAAAACUGUAGCAGCUCAUAUUAAUAGGUUUUUGUUAAAGGUGAAUCCUAUAUUAUAGAACUUACGAUGGAGUUUGAACAGUUUGGUGGAAUCUUUUUCUGAAUUAAGUGUUUGGAUCCAAGUAGGACUGGAUAUUUUAAAGAAACUAAAACUAAUUGAGAGCCAUUUAAAGUUUUAGCUACCAAUCAACCAUCCACAUUAUUAGUUCAUCUAGAUCAUGCUAACAUCAUAACAAUAUUCCUGAAUUAAGCACUAGUUCGAGCCCCGGAUACGGAAAAAAUCCUUGGUAGGGAACAAGGAAGGACCCUAGGUGGCCCGAAUCCGGAUUAGUCGGGCUCCGAUGCAGGUACAAUACUGGAUGGGAACCGCCCCCCCCCCAAAAAAAGCAUUAGAAUAAUAGUAAAUUUGUAACAUAAAACAAAAUAAAAAGAAAAGCAAAUAGUAACUUCUGUUUUAAACAAACACAUAAAAAGGAACAAACUGAAACUUUUUUGAACAUCAUAAUAAGGAAAAGAGAGUAGUUAAAAUUUUAAGGGGCUAGGGGAAGGAAGAUAACAUAUUUAAACUUUUUUUUUUCAAUUUUUUUGUAACAUGUUAGAACUUGUGACCUCCUGUUGAGACAAGUUUGAUUGGAUUUGGUUAGACUCAUGACAAAAACAACCUUGCGUAAGUCUUGUAUAUUUCUUUCAGGGUCAAAAAAUGGAUAUUCACAGCAUUUAAGUACUACUAAAUUAGUGAAUAUAAAAUUGAAAUGUUUUUCCAAAUGUAAUAAGAUAGCGAUGGCAUUAUGAACUUAUUGAGAUAGCUCAGAGAGAAAUUGUGUACCUGCGUAGGAACUCAACAAUGAUUGCAACCAAGUAAGAAGCAUCCCCAGCCAUUUCUUCCUCUACAGAAGCAAACACAAAGCAGCACAGAUCAUCGGGGGAUAUUGCUGCAGAAGUUAUUAGAGACUCCUGCUGUUCAUCAAUCCUUAGGGGAGUGCUACCUGGUCCAGGAUCUUUAGGUCGUACAACAGAAGGCUGAGCUUCAGAAACAGAUAAAUCUGUCCCCACCAAGUUGCCUCCAUUUUGUUCGCUACUAGAUAAAUCUACAUUUUUAGAUUUGCCCCUAUUUUCUGCAAAGCUAACAUUGUCCUCAGAAUCUGACGUAAAGGAAGAGGAUUUGACAAUAGACUUGUCGUGCAUGCCACUACCACUUUCUUGUAUUGGUGACUUUUCAAAUGUUUCUACUUGACUGAUGGAUUUGCCAAUAGCACCAUCAACACUAGAACCACUGGUUGUUGAACUUCUCUCCACUUUUGAUCCCGCUUGAUGCUUUCCGGUUUUUAUUGAAAGAGAGAAAG
RNAcentral lists this long non-coding RNA (1573 nucleotides) under Capsicum annuum. RNAcentral describes it as "long non-coding RNA (CANN_LNC005104)". Lineage: Eukaryota; Viridiplantae; Streptophyta; Magnoliopsida; Solanales; Solanaceae. The record is from RNAcentral.